This 254-nucleotide ribosomal RNA is filed under the name uncultured bacterium. Its description in RNAcentral is "partial 16S ribosomal RNA". It matches the Rfam family "Bacterial small subunit ribosomal RNA", at positions 524 to 776 of the family's 1533-position model. The record is from RNAcentral.
UACGGAGGAGGCAAGCGUUAUCCGGAAUUAUUGGGCGUAAAGCGUCCGUAGAUGGUCGUUUCAAGUCUGCUGUCAAAGACCGGGGCUUAACCCCAGAAAGGCGGUGGAAACUGAACAGCUAGAGAGAGGUAGGGGUAGAGGGAAUUCCCAGUGUAGCGGUGAAAUGCGUAGAUAUUGGGAAGAACAUCGGUGGCGAAGGCGCCCUGCUGGACCAUAACUGACACUCAGGGACGAAAGCUAGGGGAGCGAAUGGG